This 328-nucleotide ribosomal RNA is filed under the name uncultured eukaryote. Its description in RNAcentral is "partial 18S ribosomal RNA". It matches the Rfam family "Eukaryotic small subunit ribosomal RNA", at positions 1470 to 1796 of the family's 1831-position model. The record is from RNAcentral.
CCCUUAGACGUUCUGGGCCGCACGCGCGCUACACUGACCAGUGCAACAAGCAUCCGUCCUUGGCCGACAGGCUCGGGCAAUCUUUGAACGCUGGUCGUGAUGGGGAUAGACUUUUGCAAUUUUUGGUCUUCAACGAGGAAUUCCUAGUAAACGCAAGUCAUCAACUUGCAUUGAUUACGUCCCUGCCCUUUGUACACACCGCCCGUCGCACCUACCGAUUGAAUGGUCCGGUGAAGCGUUCGGACCGUGGCCUUUGGACGGUUCGCCGUCUGUUGGCUGCGGGAAGUUCGUUAAACCUUAUCAUUUAGAGGAAGGAGAAGUCGUAACA